Molecule: non-coding RNA, 101 nt
Filed under: Paenibacillus antarcticus
Lineage: Bacteria; Bacillati; Bacillota; Bacilli; Caryophanales; Paenibacillaceae
Description: Guanine sequence
Rfam family: Purine riboswitch aptamer
About the family: Riboswitches are metabolite binding domains within certain messenger RNAs that serve as precision sensors for their corresponding targets. Allosteric rearrangement of mRNA structure is mediated by ligand binding, and this results in modulation of gene expression. A class of riboswitches that selectively recognises guanine and becomes saturated at concentrations as low as 5 nM.
Source: Rfam by way of RNAcentral
UAAAAAUGAAUAACUUUCUCUCAUAUAAUCGCAGGGAUAUGGCCUGCAAGUUUCUACCGAACCCCAUAAAGGCUUCGACUAUGAGUAACGAUAUAUUGGUG